RNAcentral lists this ribosomal RNA (248 nucleotides) under uncultured bacterium. Its description in RNAcentral is "partial 16S ribosomal RNA". It matches the Rfam family "Bacterial small subunit ribosomal RNA", at positions 523 to 769 of the family's 1533-position model. The record is from RNAcentral.
AUACGGAGGGAGCUAGCGUUGUUCGGAAUCACUGGGCGUUAAAGCGCACGUAGGCGGCUUUGUAAGUUAGAGGUGAAAGCCCGGGGCUCAACUCCGGAACUGCCUUUAAGACUGCAUCGCUUGAAUCUGGGAGAGGUAAGUGGAAUUCCGAGUGUAGAGGUGAAAUUCGUAGAUAUUCGGAAGAACACCAGUGGCGAAGGCGGCUUACUGGACCAGAAUUGACGCUGAGGUGCGAAAGCGUGGGGAGC